AACUUCCACCUGGCAUACCUCYUCAGUUAUGUGUCAAGGCUUGUAUCGCCUUGAGCGUAUUGCGGGUUUCCUGUGUUGCAUACCAAAUUGCUGGUACUGUUUUGGUUGAUCAAAGUCCUUUUUCAUCUUGUGUUGCUGUUGUGAUGCAUGAUGAACCUUUAAGCGGUCUUUAUGUUCCAUCAUGUUGAUGCAAAUGCAUUGAUGUUGUGGCCCAUUGAGUGUUGCUUGGUAUUCUUGAUACGGAACAUUAUGUGGGCAUGGGGUCUCUCAUGACUCUUGUUUUGUCCUUGUUCAGUGUUCUUCGAAAUGACGGUUCAUGCGCGCCUAGGCUCGUACCUGCGCGAUGUUCUUUGUCAAAGAGGAAUGCUACCUGGUUGAUCCUGCCAGUA
Molecule: unclassified non-coding RNA, 389 nt
Filed under: Scapisenecio pectinatus
Lineage: Eukaryota; Viridiplantae; Streptophyta; Magnoliopsida; Asterales; Asteraceae
Description: Senecio pectinatus partial external transcribed spacer
Source: RNAcentral